RNAcentral lists this ribosomal RNA (496 nucleotides) under uncultured bacterium. Its description in RNAcentral is "partial 16S ribosomal RNA". It matches the Rfam family "Bacterial small subunit ribosomal RNA", at positions 28 to 506 of the family's 1533-position model. The record is from RNAcentral.
GAUGAACGCUGGCGGCGUGCCUAAUACAUGCAAGUCGAGCGAACGGACGAGAAGCUUGCUUCUCUGAUGUUAGCGGCGGACGGGUGAGUAACACGUGGAUAACCUACCUAUAAGACUGGGAUAACUUCGGGAAACCGUAGCUAAUACCGGAUAAUAUUUUGAACCGCAUGGUUCAAAAGUGAAAGACGGUCUUGCUGUCACUUAUAGAUGGAUCCGCGCUGCAUUAGCUAGUUGGUAAGGUAACGGCUUACCAAGGCAACGAUGCAUAGCCGACCUGAGAGGGUGAUCGGCCACACUGGAACUGAGACACGGUCCAGACUCCUACGGGAGGCAGCAGUAGGGAAUCUUCCGCAGUGGGCGAAAGCCUGACGGAGCAACGCCGCGUGAGUGAUGAAGGUCUUCGGAUCGUAAAACUCUGUUAUUGGGGAAGAACAUAUGUGUAAGUAACUGUGCACAUCUUGACGGUACCUAAUCAGAAAGCCACGGCUAACUACGU